Molecule: ribosomal RNA, 292 nt
Filed under: uncultured bacterium
Lineage: Bacteria
Description: partial 16S ribosomal RNA
Source: RNAcentral
GGACUACUCGGGUAUCUAAUCCUGUUCGCUCCCCUAGCUUUCGCACCUGAGCGUCAGGUACUUCCCAGGACACUGCCUUCGCCAUUGGUGUUCCUCCGGAUAUCUACGCAUUUCACCACUCCACCCGGAAUUCCGUGUCCCUCUGAAGCCCUCAAGUCAGACAGUUUCCAGAACACUUCGUCGGUUAAGCCGACGACUGUCACUCCAGACUGAUCUGACCGCCUGCGUGCGCUUUACGCCCAGUAACUCCGGACAACGCUCGCCUCCUACGUAUUACCGCGGCUGCUGGCAC